UAUCCUCCGACUUACAAUCCUUCCAACAAUUUUCGGUGGUUUUAACAUCACCCCGUUAAGAGGUUGAAGAGCAAGUGUGUAGGUCUGAUACGACGGUGAGUCUCACACUCAGACCGGGCAUCAUUAUCAUUAAAAGCGAAUAUGAGUUUUAAACCGUCUGCAGUUGGGGUUGAGCUGGCUGAUUCUGGUAGAGACAUGGUUCGUCAGACAGUCUGAAAUCGUGCAGGGCUCGGCUCCUUCGGCUUUCCCUUUCUGCGUUUUCCUUUCUCCCACAAGCUAUAAUAGAAACUAAUCUUCAAAAUCUAAACAUUCCAGGGCCUGUCCUUUUGUGCAGGCAUCUCGCCCUCCCUGUUCAGAGCAGCACUAUGCUGUGAGUGUGUUCCUAUUUACAUGCGCAGGUUCCCCGCUGGUGGGACCCGGGCGGGCAGACAGACCAUCCAUCAUCCAUCCUCCUCCCCGCCGAGCACUGCAUCGGUCGCCAAUCCCAUGGCCGGUGGGGCAGCACCUGCGAGACAGCCCGCAGCUUCCCUCUGCUCUCCUCGCCACGCCUCGCGGGUCGGUGGUGCCCUUGUGAGCUACUGCGUUCUCCAAGGCCAAAAGCAGAAAGGGCAGAAGACAUCUUCUUUCCUACAUACCCACACACUGACAAGGAUGGCAAGAAUCUGAAGAGACUGGGAUGCUCCUGCACACUGUUGAAAUGGACUUACACUGGGUCAGAUGUCCUACCCGCCUGUUCAUGGACUUCUGCUAGAACAAGGGAGAAAGGUUCCUCGUUAAUGAUCACAGGUGGACUAGGAUUUCCAAACACGCUGACUCCAUCCCAGUGAAGGAGGGCUUCUCCAAUACUCCUGCACUCAGAUCUUAAAGCAUCGAGUAGAGCAGUAUUCAGAGGAAUCUAGAAUUUCCCUUGGUGUUGAGACGUGACUGGCAGGAUGCACACUUCUUUGGGAUGGCCAGAGCCAGUGCAAGCAUCACAGCCUUAGAAAAUGAAGGGAGCUAGUCAAAGCCUCAUCAGUCUAAAUGACUGCUUCGUGCCACAGGUGGAGCGGAUGCUUGGGGAAGAAGAAGGAUGAUGACCCACAGCACAGCAUGACUUUACGAAGGAGAGCCUGUCCUCCUGGGGUUCUACCUAGACUGAAAACGAGGCCCUGCUCCACGUUCUGCCAGCCUAAGUCAGCCGGAGCAGACAGCUCUAUCUUGACAAGAGACUAUUUGAUACUGCUUUGCACUCAUUUUCUUUAAGCACUGUAGAACUCUGUGCAGCUGGCUGUGUCUCCAUCAGGCGCGGCUCUGACACCAGAGAGCCAUCAACCGUUUGAUCCCACCACACUGGGUUCCUGGGAUGAUGCCAUAUUUUUUUUUUUCGAGUAUCUUUAUUAUCAAUGGUCUAUAAUGAAAGGGGUCGAGAUUUGCUUCUUCCCCAGCCGAAGGGAUCAUCAAAGCCAAGCUGGGCUGAGUUGGAGGAUUGCACAUGGAGAUGGCCCCACCCAGCCUGACGGGUAUCUGGUGUUUCAACUCUUGCUUCCACCUCAAGUGACAUGAUCAAGACGGUAUCUGUCAUCCUUAGGGCCUACAAAAGUAUACCCCGAGACCCAGCCAAGUGGAAAACAGAUAAAGAUAUUCAGAGACUCAGAUAUGUCACCUGAUGUCCUCAGGUUCAAAAUUCCAGUUUCAAAGCCCCUCUCCUCAGGAAGGCAGCCUCUCUGGAGCUGCCUCUCCCUGACCCUGACCCUGACCCUGACCCUGACCUGACCUGACCACCAGUCCUCUCUUUCUGUAAACUUGCUUGCCGAAGAAAAGUUCACUUGGCACUCGUCUUAAGUAUUGACUCUCUGUCUUGAGGGUGACGGCUGUAAAUUCUCUCUCCUAAGAUCCAAGUCGAUUUGUUAUCAAAUCAGGCAUUGAGAAGCUGAUUCAUUGCUAUUCGGCGCUGUACUGAUUUAUAUGCAGAAUGUAAAACAGAUGCCUUCUGUGAUACAUAUUUAUGGUGAGUGCUGUUCAAGGAAGAUUUAUUACGGAUUCCUUUGUCGGGGUUUGCAUGAGCAGAGCCAUGAUGACUUGUAUUUCCUCUCAGCUGCCAAUGCCAAACUCAUUAAAAAGAGGUGUGACUAUUAAUAUACAUUGUAAUACUGACAGGCUCUAAUUUAUAACACCCUGGCUGGCUGGAGUAUUCUCCUGACUUGAGAGGUGGUUUCUGCAUUUUUUCCUCUGUAGCUAAAUGGUGCAAAUAGAGAUGUAUAUUCUCUCGUGUUCUCUCGCUCAUUUGCUCGCUCGCUCGCUCGCUCGCUCCUCUCUCCCUCUCUCUGCCUCUCUCCCUCCCUCUCUCCUUCCCUUCCUCCUCCUCUCUCUCCCACCUUCCCUCUCUCUUUUUCCUUAUCACUUUGUCUUUUAUAGUCAUCUAAGUCAAGGUACAGUCUUCUCAAAAGAUGCAACCGCUUCAUUGAUCUUCCUUCCAUUGCCCUCCCAAGCCAAGCCCCAGAACAAAUGCCACCAGAGUUUGUAAUAGUGCAGAACUGGGUUUUAGUGCCCAGCAAACACAGGAACACUGUUGUUCUCUGUGCGGGCACAAUCUCUCUCUAGGACGAAUUAGCGAGGAAGCGGUUCCAAGCAGCUCGUAACAAGCGUUCUUGGCAGCCGAUGUCUGAAGUGAGGCUCUGAAGUUGAACAGCAUAAGUUGCUCUGCACAAGGGAGUCGGAUAGUUAUCACCCAAAGGACAGUGUCAGGAAAGACACAUUUCUAAUGACAGGAACCUGAAGCAGAUGAGGGCAGUGUGUCAGAUGAGGAAGGAGGGAGGGACCAUGGAGUGCUACCUGGAGGAGCUGGUCAGAGAAGCAGGUCUGAUCAGGAACUCAGCACCUGCAAAAGGACUCAAGGACAUCGUCCAGAAUGCUUGAAUAACUAAAUGACACGGGGAGCAUGGAAAUCAACUUUUCCUUUACCUUAAGUUUGAGAAAAAACUAGUUACAGCACAGAAAGCGGAGCACACAGACACGUGAGUUGGGACUCCGCAAAGAACACCUGUGAGAGGCAAUGCCAACAGGUACCAUGCUUAAGUGUGUUUUUAGUAACUCCAUGAAAGCAUGUUUUCUGAGCAGACAGAAACAACGCAAGUAUUCCACCAUCUUUUCAGGGUAUGCAAGCAUGGAUGGACAGUGAGCAUGCCUUGGGUGCAAAGUCCAGGGGUACGGAAGUCAGGAGAUAUGCUACUUGAAUGCCUCAGGCAGGCAGAGGAGUCCAAAUGAGGGCAGAUUAUCUCUUAUAUGAAAAAAAAGAUGCAAAUUUUAAAUGAGAGCUGAACUCUUAUAAAAUCCUAGAUGGUUUCCAGGCAUCUGUUUUAUAGAUUCUUUCUUACAAAUGGUAACAGGGCUCACCAACUUCACUCCAACCCACUCAUACAGAGAAGCCUCCAUACUGGCCAUGGUGUGUCUUUCACUGUGUUGUCCACAGCAUCUGAGAGUUAGCACAACACAUUGGGUCAUGGGUGAAGGUGAUGGCCAACAGUAAUGUUUUAGAAUAAAUAAAUGACUUUAUAAUGUGACCUCUCUUCACAUCAUCUAAAAUCACUGCAGUUGGCCCUACACGUGCAAAUUCCAAACCCAGAAUAUUAGACCAAAAAUAUUCUUUAAAAAUGACAUGUGAUGAACAUGCACUUGCUCUCUCUUCUCUGUGCAACACAGUGUUGAUACUUUUUACACAGCAUUUAUGUUGUACCAGAUGUCAUAAUAAUUUACACAAUUGUCAUCUAGAGACCAUUUACAGGAUCAUGAGGUUUGCAUACAUUCUAUAGAAAUCAUAUGCUAUGUCAAGUUAUGUAAUGGGCUUGACCAUCUUCCAACUUUUGUUUCUUACGGGAGUCCUGUAACCAAAUACCCCAGGGUACUUCUCAGGGAGAGCUAUGUGAUGACUAAUUUUGGAUGUGAAAUUGAUUGGCUCAAGCAAUUCCUAUGGCAUUAGUCAGUCACAUGUUUGGGGGUGUCAUUGGAAGCUAUCUCAGAGAAUUUUGACUAAGGGAAAAUACUCCUUUGCCAGGCCUUGUAUUAGAGUCCUCCACUGAGAGAACGAAAACACAUCAGGUACCUGAACAGCCAACUCAGCACCAGCUCCCCCUCACUCAUCUGACUCCUGCUGCUGAGAUGUGAGUGCGUAGUAGUCUCCUGCACCCACAGUUCGCACCAGGAAGGACUCUGCCCUUCUGCCUUGUGAACUCUGAGCCAACGUGAAACUUCCCGUCCGCCAAUGGCCUUUUGUCAGCUCUUUGACCAUAGCAAUAAGGAAAAUAACUAAUAGAACAGCUAUUAUUUUUUUUUUAUAAAACAACGGUGUUUCAAGAAAUUUUGACAUUUGUAAGUAAAGAGAGAUAACCUAGGUGGUCCCCAGGCCAAAGUUCUCUCAAUUACACCUAUAUGAUUGACCAUAUAUUUCUAGAAAAUAUUCCUGUGACAAUCCUAAAUGUACAUUAACUAACUUAAAGUGAAAUUGUAUGUGUGCAUAAACACACCACACACAUAAUUGUAAACAGUACGUAUGUAUGUAUGUAUGUAUAAAACCAAUAGAGAACAAUGUAUAAAAAAAUCCAGAAAAUCUACAAAAUCCCGUUUACCAUGUCAAGUCACAAGGAUGACUAUGGGAGCCAUGUGAUCAGGCAAGAUGUGGCUGAGAGGAAGCUUAUUGAUUCAGGGUUGUGGUGCACUGAGUUGCUUUCAGAUGAGGAA
This is a long non-coding RNA of Peromyscus californicus insignis, 4713 nucleotides long. RefSeq lists it as uncharacterized. The transcript is spliced from 3 exons. NCBI's taxonomy places the organism in Eukaryota, Metazoa, Chordata, Mammalia, Rodentia, Cricetidae. The record is from RefSeq and is a predicted model, not a curated record.